UCCGUAGGUGAACCUGCGGAAGGAUCAUUACCCAAAAGGAUACCCUCGUGGUAUACCCCACCCGUGUCUACCUACUCUUGUUGCUUUGGCAGGCCGUGGUCUUCCACUGUGGGCUCUGCCUGCAUGUGCCUGCCAGAGGACCAAACUCUGAAUUUUAGUGAUGUCUGAGUACUAUAUAAUAGUUAAAACUUUCAACAACGGAUCUCUUGGUUCUGGCAUCGAUGAAGAACGCAGCGAAAUGCGAUAAGUAAUGUGAAUUGCAGAAUUCAGUGAAUCAUCGAAUCUUUGAACGCACAUUGCGCCCUGUGGUAUUCCGCAGGGCAUGCCUGUUCGAGCGUCAUUACAACCAAAAUUAAGCCUAGCUUAGUGUUGGGGUUCGCAGUUCUGCGGCCCUUAAUAUCAGUGGCGGUGCCUGUAGGCUCUGAGCGUAGUAAUUCUUCUCGCUAUAGAGCCCUAUAAGUAUCUUGCCAGAACCCCCAUAUUUUUUCAGGUUGACCUCGGAUCAGGUAGGGAUACCCGCUGAACUUAAGCAUAUC
This 536-nucleotide ribosomal RNA is filed under the name uncultured Phialocephala. RNAcentral describes it as "eukaryotic LSU rRNA". The stretch from base 187 to 340 matches the Rfam family "5.8S ribosomal RNA". Lineage: Eukaryota; Fungi; Ascomycota; Leotiomycetes; Helotiales. The record is from RNAcentral.